RNAcentral lists this unclassified non-coding RNA (310 nucleotides) under plant metagenome. RNAcentral describes it as "partial contains 5.8S ribosomal RNA, internal transcribed spacer 2, and large subunit ribosomal RNA". The stretch from base 1 to 105 matches the Rfam family "5.8S ribosomal RNA", at positions 50 to 154 of the family's 154-position model. The record is from RNAcentral.
GAAAUGCGAUAAGUAGUGUGAAUUGCAGAAUUCAGUGAAUCAUCGAAUCUUUGAACGCACAUUGCGCCCCUUGGUAUUCCAUGGGGAAUGCCUGUUCGAGCGUCAUUUGUACCCUCAAGCUCUGCUUGGUGUUGGGUGUUUGUCCCCGUCUCCGCGCGUGGACUCGCCCCAAAGUGAUUGGCAGCCGGCGUACUGGUCCCGGAGCGCAGCACAUGUCGCGCAAACGAGUGCCUUGGUACGGCGGCGUCCAUAAGCCCCUCUCUCACGCUCUUGACCUCGGAUCAGGUAGGGAUACCCGCUGAACUUAAGC